Molecule: ribosomal RNA, 229 nt
Filed under: uncultured bacterium
Lineage: Bacteria
Description: partial 16S ribosomal RNA
Rfam family: Bacterial small subunit ribosomal RNA
Source: RNAcentral
UACGUAGGCGGAAAAUUAAGUCAGUAGUGAAAUCCUGCAGCUUAACUGUAGAACUGUUAUUGAUACUGGUUUUCUUGACUAUAGUUGAGGUAGGCGGAAUGUGUAAUGUAGCGGUGAAAUGCUUAGAUAUUACACAGAACACCGAUUGCGAAGGCAGCUUACUAAGCUAUGAUUGACGCUGAGGUACGAAAGCGUGGGGAGCGAACAGGAUUAGAUACCCUGGUAGUCC